This 1058-nucleotide ribosomal RNA is filed under the name uncultured bacterium. RNAcentral describes it as "bacterial SSU rRNA". It matches the Rfam family "Bacterial small subunit ribosomal RNA", at positions 338 to 1398 of the family's 1533-position model. The record is from RNAcentral.
CCUACGGGGGGCAGCAGUGAGGAAUAUUGGUCAAUGGGCGCAAGCCUGAACCAGCCAUGUCGCGUGCAGGAUGACGGCCCUAUGGGUUGUAAACUGCUUUUUUACAGGAAUAAUUGCAGAUACGUGUAUUUGUUUGAAGGUACUGUAGGAAUAAGGAUCGGCUAACUCCGUGCCAGCAGCCGCGGUAAUACGGAGGAUUCGAGCGUUAUCCGGAUUUAUUGGGUUUAAAGGGUCCGUAGGCGGGCUAAUAAGUCAGUGGUGAAAUCCCAGAGCUCAACUCUGGAACUGCCAUUGAUACUGUUAGUCUUGAACUUAGUUGAGGUGGGCGGAAUACGUUAUGUAGCGGUGAAAUGCAUAGAUAUAACGUAGAACACCGAUUGCGAAGGCAGCUCACUAAACUAACAUUGACGCUGAUGGACGAAAGCGUGGGGAGCGAACAGGAUUAGAUACCCUGGUAGUCCACGCCGUAAACGAUGAUUACUCGUUGUGCACAAUACAUCGUGCGUGACUGAGCGAAAGCAUUAAGUAAUCCACCUGGGGAGUACGUUCGCAAGAAUGAAACUCAAAGGAAUUGACGGGGGCCCGCACAAGCGGAGGAACAUGUGGUUUAAUUCUAUGAUACGCGAGGACCUUACCUGGACUUAAAUGUAGAUUGACCCUCUUAGAAAUAGGAGUUCUCUUCGGAGCAAUUUACAAGGUGCUGCAUGGUUGUCGUCAGCUCGUGCCGUGAGGUGUCGGGUUAAGUCCCAUAACGAGCGCAACCCCUAUCGUUAGUUGCUAGCAGGUAAUGCUGAGGACUCUAGCGAGACUGCCACCGUAAGGUGAGAGGAAGGUGGGGAUGACGUCAAAUCAGCACGGCCCUUACGUCCAGGGCUACACACGUGUUACAAUGGCCGAUACAAAGGGCAGCUACCAGGUGACUGGAUGCUAAUCUCCAAAGUCGGUCUCAGUUCGGAUCGGAGUCUGCAACUCGACUCCGUGAAGUUGGAUUCGCUAGUAAUCGCAUAUCAGCAACGAUGCGGUGAAUACGUUCCCGGGCCUUGUACACACCGCCCGUC